RNAcentral lists this ribosomal RNA (369 nucleotides) under uncultured bacterium. RNAcentral's name for it is "bacterial SSU rRNA". It matches the Rfam family "Bacterial small subunit ribosomal RNA", at positions 525 to 896 of the family's 1533-position model. The record is from RNAcentral.
ACGGAGGAUGCAAGCGUUAUCCGGAUUCAUUGGGUUUAAAGGGUGCGUAGGCGGCUUUUUAAGUCAGUGGUGAAAUCUUGCCGCUUAACGGUAAAAUUGCCAUUGAUACUGAGAAGCUUGAGUACAGUUGAGGUAAGCGGAAUGUGUAGUGUAGCGGUGAAAUGCUUAGAUAUUACACAGAACACCGAUUGCGAAGGCAGCUUACUAAACUGUUACUGACGCUGAUGCACGAAAGCGUGGGGAGCGAACAGGAUUAGAUACCCUGGUAGUCCACGCCGUAAACGAUGCUCACUCGCUGUAUGCGAUACACAGUAUGCGGCCAAGCGAAAGCAUUAAGUGAGCCACCUGGGGAGUACGAUCGCAAGGUUG